ACAUGUAUGAAAAUGAACUUUUAGGAAGAUCAACGUAAGCCCCUAUGAUCGCCUCGAGACGUACUUAUAGAAACUCAGUCUUUGCCUCUAAAACAUUGUUGGGCAUAAAUAAGAUGAGUCCUCUAGGAGUUGUUACAAGCUAAAUCAAUCACACUGAUAACUCCAAGGUGAUUUAUAGCUUCAACACUUAAUUUUGUAUAGUUUGGUAUUUCACCAAUUGCUAAGCUAGUACAAUACUAUAAGAGGCAGUUCUAUUAAUUAUACCAUCUCUUUUAGUAGUUAAAGAACUAAAUAGAAAAUUUGAAACAAAAAGUUAAUUUCUGGCCUUAGUUUCCUUUUAUUAUCAGGCAGUAGGCAUUAGAGGCAGAACAGUGGGCUUUGCACUUUGAAGUCACUCCUGGUUUCGUUGUUGUCCCUAGUUCGUCACUCCGAGAGAGGUACAACUCUUUACCUUUAAUUUUUUCUUGUUUGUUUCAGACCAAGAGUGUUAUGCGUUGUUGUGACUGAAAUAGUGAGCUGCUAGUUUGUAUCAGUUUCUUAGUUGAUAUGAUUUGAUAUGUUUUCUUAAAGUUAACUGAGUCUCCUUUUAGUUUGUUCAAGAUUGUCUGUAGUUCAUUUAGUCGCGAUUUUAAGUGUGCCUGCUAUGUGUUCUGGGUUCUCGAAAUGGGGCUGUAAAAUCUGGUUGUUUACCUUUCUCUUCCAAGUGUGGCUUAGUUCUCUUUUGAGCAUCUUUUAACUUACUCGUUGUAUAUCUCCGUCUGAUUGUUCUCAAAUGCUAUCUAAUGCUAUGAGGCUUCAAGUUCUAAUGUUCAAUUUGAUAAAAAAUAGUUUGUCUAGGUCCUGAUUUUGUUUGAAUUUAUUUUAGUACAACUUGUAUGGACUACAUAUUGUAAGCAAGUGAGAUAGUAUACUCAGAAACUAUUUUGUCGCAUUAAAGUAACCGAACUUUACACACUAUAUAAGUUACUUUUAAAAAGUUAGUUUUUGACUUACCCUCUAGAGUACAACUGAUCACCAAGAAUUAGAAAAUCCAUGACAACAACUUAUGUUGUUUGCAUAGGCUGCCACUGCUCAUUUGAAUGGUUGUACAGGUUAUAGAAUCAGUUUAGUUGUGGCUCCAGCUUCCCUGCUAGGAUAUUGUGUCUGUACAGGUUAUAGAAUCUGUUUACAGUAUAUACAGUGUUGGAAGUUCUGGAAAUUCUGGAAACUCAGCUGCUGCAAUAUUAUACAGUGUUGGAAAUUCUGGAAACUCAACUGCUGCAAUAUUAUACAGUGCUGGAAAUUCUAGAAAUUCUGGAAACUCAGCUACUGCAAUAUUAUACAGUGCUGGAAAUUCUGGAAACUCAGUUGUUGAGCUAUAAUACAGUGCUGGAAAUUCUGGAAAGAGUUGAGCUUUUCUAUAACUUCUAAAGAGUUGGUGUGUGAGUUCUGCAGAUGCACAGGACAUAGAAGGACAAUGUUUCAAACUAAUAAGCUAUCCACCUGACUUCAAGUCUAAGAAAAAAAAUCUUUGAAAAUUACUUUUUUUUUUGUUUUUCUUCUAGUUGAGCUGGUGUUCUUGGUAAAGAAAUUCUGAUUUUUUUUACUAUCUUGAAUCUUUGAAAGCUCAGUCUGUACUUUGUUUUUUGUCACUCAUUGUCUCCUUUCAGCUUAUAUACCUAGAAAAGUUUAUAUUUUUAGUUGUAUGAGUGUUGUAUUGUGUUGAAGGAGGACUCUAGUGAUUUUGGGUUGUAGUUGUGUACUUUUUUCCCCUGUUAUUUUUCUGCUUUGAACUGUGAUGGUUGUUGUGAGAGAUGGUUUUGGUUUUCAUUGCUUAAACUGAUUCUCAUAGUUAAAGCUAUCCCUUUUAGAUUUCUUGGAAGGUUAAAGCUGUCCCUUUUAGCUUUUUCUGGUGUUGCAAUAAAGCUAUUUAGAUUUUUUAUGCUUGUGCUUUGUUUUGUUUCUGCAAUGGGGUAGCUUCCUUCCCAGGAUAUUUUUGCCCUGCUUGAGUAUAUACAGGUACAACUGGUUAUGUACUGUAGUCAUGAAAUGCAGAAUGGGUUAUACAGGUUAUACCAUAGAGGGGUCAGGGCAUUGGGUUUAUGUAAACGGUAAAGUGUAGCCUACAUAUAUACAAUCAUCAUGUAUAACUUAUGUAUAAAAUAUUCCAAAUUAUUUCAUCAGGUAAAUAGUAAUUUACAACAAAUAGGCAAUGAAGCCAGAUGCCUGUUCUAUAUGAUUUGGAUUGGUUGGCUUAUAGUGAAUACUCUCCAAUUAUGCACUUCCAAAUACAUGAUUUAUUUCACUAACUUAUAAUUUUAUUUCGAAUGUGCAGGAAAAUGCCGGUAAUUGAAUUUGAAUUGUGGCUAGAAGUAAACUCGAUCUAUUGUAGUGAACGACGAAGAGUUUUUG
RNAcentral lists this long non-coding RNA (2391 nucleotides) under Solanum tuberosum (potato). RNAcentral describes it as "long non-coding RNA (STUB_LNC000310)". The record is from RNAcentral. Lineage: Eukaryota; Viridiplantae; Streptophyta; Magnoliopsida; Solanales; Solanaceae.